ACCAAGGAGUCUAUCGUGUGCGCGAGUCAACGGUGAUCUUACGAAAAACCACGUUUGGCGCAAUGAAAGUGAACCGUUUACGGUGCGGACGAUGGCCUAGCGACCGAACCCACCGGCGUUCAAAGUCGCGCUGGUCCGCAGUCCGGGGGCGUCUCCGCCAAGUCGGCUUCGGCCGGCUGGGGGCGCACCCUUAGCGCACACGUUGGUACCCGAAAGAUGGUGAACUAUGCCUGGCCAGGAUGAAGUCAGGGGAAACCCUGAUGGAGGUCCGCAGCGAUUCUGACGUGCAAAUCGAUCGUCUGAGCUGGGUAUAGGGGCGAAAGACUAAUCGAACCAUCUAGUAGCUGGUUCCAUCCGAAGUUUCCCUCAGGAUAGCUGGCGCCGAUGUGUCCCGCCCGUUCGCGGGCGUACGGACGCCGGUGGGACUCCGCGCUGUACGGCGCGGUAACAACACGCUCGUAACACGGAGGAUGUCUCAUACGGUAAAGCGAAUGAUUAGAGGACAUUGGGGCCGAAACGACCUCAACCUAUUCUCAAACUAUAAAUGAGUGAGAUCGCCGGCUUUACCUGGUACACCGCGUGAACCGCGUGCGAAGCCGGCGACGGAACCCUAGGCGCUUAGUGGGCCAUUUUUGGUAAGCAGAACUGGCGCUGCGGGAUGAACCGAACGCCGAGUUAAGGCGCCGAAAUCGACGCGUAUUCAGAGACCAUGAAAGGCGUUGGUUGCUGAUGACAGCAGGACGGUG
This 746-nucleotide non-coding RNA is filed under the name Acyrthosiphon pisum (pea aphid). RNAcentral describes it as "Eukaryotic large subunit ribosomal RNA". It matches the Rfam family "Eukaryotic large subunit ribosomal RNA", at positions 665 to 1250 of the family's 3401-position model. The record is from Rfam by way of RNAcentral. Lineage: Eukaryota; Metazoa; Arthropoda; Insecta; Hemiptera; Aphididae.